RNAcentral lists this unclassified non-coding RNA (267 nucleotides) under uncultured fungus. RNAcentral's name for it is "partial contains 5.8S ribosomal RNA, internal transcribed spacer 2, and large subunit ribosomal RNA". Lineage: Eukaryota; Fungi. The record is from RNAcentral.
AACGCACAUUGCGCCCCUGGGUCCUCUAUGGGGCAUGCCUGUCCGAGCGUCGUUUAUAUCAGUACCAAAAAGAGAGCUUGGUGGUCGUUUGGGUCUGCAUGCAUCUAGUCAUGGCCUCAAAGGCGGUGCCCUUGCAAGGGGUGCUGACGCCAUCCGCUGGCUUCCGCACUCGCAGCAGUAUGCGUUCGUGUAGGGCUGGUUGGAGCGGCUUGCAAUGAACAUUACGAGCUCGACCUCGGAUCAGGUAGGGAUACCCGCUGAACUUAA